RNAcentral lists this small nuclear RNA (90 nucleotides) under Moschus moschiferus (Siberian musk deer). The record is from RNAcentral. Lineage: Eukaryota; Metazoa; Chordata; Mammalia; Artiodactyla; Moschidae.
GUGCUAGCUUUGGCAGCACACAUACUAAAAUUGGAAUGAUGGCCCCUGUGCAAGGAUGAUGCAUUAAUUCACAAGCCAAUCUAUAUUUUU